Molecule: RNA transcript, 1113 nt
Organism: Rattus rattus (black rat)
Lineage: Eukaryota; Metazoa; Chordata; Mammalia; Rodentia; Muridae
Gene name: RT1 class I histocompatibility antigen, AA alpha chain-like
Exons: 6
Source: RefSeq, a predicted model, not a curated record
UUAUAAAGUCCGCGCAGCCCGCGGGACUCAGACUCGUCCGGGAUCUCAGAUGGGGGCGAUGGCACCGCGCACGCUGCUCCUGCUGCUGGCGGCCGCCCUGGCCCCGACCCAGACCCGCGCAGGCUCACACUCGCUGCGGUAUUUCGAAACCAUCGCGUCCGGGCCUGGCCUCCGGGAGCCCCGGUACAUCUCUGUUGGCUACGUGGACGACACGGAGUUCGUGCGCUAUGACAGCGACGCGGAGAAUCCGAGGAUGGAGCCGCGGGCGCGGUGGAUGGAGCGGGAGGGGCCGGAGUAUUGGGAGGAGGAGACACAGAGAGCCAAGGGAAGGAGCAGACUUUACCGAGUGGACCUGAGGACCUGCGCGGCUACUACAACCAGAGCGAGGGCGGCUCUCACACCAUCCAGAGGAUGUAUGGCUGUGACGUGGGGUCGGACGGGAGCCUCCUCCGCGGGUAUGUGCAGUUCGCCUACGAUGGCCGCGAUUACAUCGCCCUGAACGAAGACCUGAAAACGUGGGCGGCGGCAGACUUUGCGGCACGGAUCUCCCGGAACAAGUUCGAGCGGGCUGGUUAUUCAGAUUAUUACAAGGCCUACCUGGAGGGCGAGUGCGUGGAGUGGCUCCGCAGAUACCUGGAGCUCGGGAACGAGACGCUGCUGCGCUCAGAUCCCCCAAAGGCACAUGUGAUCCUUUACCCCAGACCUGAAGGUGAUGUCACCCUGAGGUGCUGGGCCCUGGGUUUCUACCCUCCUGGUAUCUCCCUGACCUGGCAGUUGAAUGGGGAGGACCUGACCCAGGACAUGGAGCUUGUGGAGACCAGGCCUGCAGGGGAUGGAACCUUCCAGAAGUGGGCAUCUGUGGUGGUGCCUCUUGGGAAGGAGCAGAAUUACACAUGCCGUGUGGAGCAUGAGGGGCUGCCUGAGCCACUUUCCCAGAGAUGGGAGCCUUCUCCAUCCACCGACUCCAACAUGGGAAUUGAUGUUACUUCUGUUGUUCUUGGAGCUGUGGCUGUCUUUGUAGUUUUGGCCAUCAUUGGAGUUGUGGUGGUUCUUGUGAGGAAGAGGAGGAGAAACACAGGUGGGAAAGGAGACUACGCCCCUGCUCCAGGUUAG